AUAUCAAUAAGCGGAGGAAAAGAAACUAACAAGGAUUCCCCUAGUAUCUGCGAGUGAAGCGGGAAAAGCUCAAAUUUAAAAUCUGGCGGUCUUCGGCCGUCCGAGUUGUAGUCUGGAGAAGUGCUUUCCGCGCUGGACCGUGUACAAGUCUCUUGGAACAGAGCGUCAUAGAGGGUGAGAAUCCCGUCUUUGACACGGACUACCAGUGCUUUGUGAUGCGCUCUCAAAGAGUCGAGUUGUUUGGGAAUGCAGCUCAAAAUGGGUGGUAAAUUCCAUCUAAAGCUAAAUAUUGGCGAGAGACCGAUAGCGAACAAGUACCGUGAGGGAAAGAUGAAAAGCACUUUGGAAAGAGAGUUAAACAGUACGUGAAAUUGCUGAAAGGGAAACGAUUGAAGUCAGUCGCGUUGGCCAGGACUCAGCCUUGCUUUUUGCUCGGUGCAUUUUCUGGUUGACGGGCCAGCAUCGAUUUUAACCGUCGGAAAAAGGUUGGGGGAAUGUGGCACCUUCGGGUGUGUUAUAGCCCUCAGUCACAUACGGCGAUUGGGAUCGAGGACCGCAGCACGCCUUUAUGGCCGGGGUUCGCCCACGUUCGUGCUUAGGAUGCUGGCGUAAUGGCUUUAAACGACCCGUCUUGAAACACGGACCAAGGAGUCUAACAUGCCUGCGAGUGUUUGGGUGGAAAACCCGAGCGCGUAAUGAAAGUGAAAGUUGAGAUCCCUGACGCGGGGAGCAUCGACGCCCGGACUUGAACUUCGGUGAUAGAUCUGCGGUAGAGCAUGUAUGUUGGGACCCGAAAGAUGGUGAACUAUGCCUGAAUAGGGUGAAGCCAGAGGAAACUCUGGUGGAGGCUCGUAGCGAUUCUGACGUGCAAAUCGAUCGUCAAAUUUGGGUAUAGGGGCGA
Molecule: ribosomal RNA, 901 nt
Filed under: Neoantrodia variiformis
Lineage: Eukaryota; Fungi; Basidiomycota; Agaricomycetes; Polyporales; Fomitopsidaceae
Description: eukaryotic LSU rRNA
Rfam family: Eukaryotic large subunit ribosomal RNA
Source: RNAcentral